UACGAGUGCCUCAAGCGUUAUCCGGAAUCAUUGGGCGUAAAGGGUGUGUAGGUGGCCGCAUUAGUCUUUUGUUAAAUUUCCCGGCUUAACUGGGAACCUGCAGAAGAAACGGUGCGGCUAGAGGAUGCAAGGGGUCUGUGGAACUCAUAGUGUAGCGGUGAAAUGCGUUGAUAUUAUGGGGAACACCAAAAGCGAAGGCAACAGACUGGGGCGCUCCUGACACUGAAACAUGAAAGCGUGGGUAGCGAAUGGG
Molecule: ribosomal RNA, 253 nt
Filed under: uncultured bacterium
Lineage: Bacteria
Description: partial 16S ribosomal RNA
Rfam family: Bacterial small subunit ribosomal RNA
Source: RNAcentral